This 801-nucleotide ribosomal RNA is filed under the name uncultured bacterium. RNAcentral describes it as "bacterial SSU rRNA". It matches the Rfam family "Bacterial small subunit ribosomal RNA", at positions 66 to 861 of the family's 1533-position model. The record is from RNAcentral.
GCGAUUUUACGGAUUGAAACUUCGGUCGAUUGAAGUAAAUGAAAGCGGCGAAAGGGAGAGUAACGCGUGGAUAUCUGCCCUUGGCUCCAGGAUAGCUACGGGAAACUGUAGGUAAUACUGGAUAACAUCUCCGGAUCAAAGGUGUGAUUCCGGCCGAGGAUGAGUCCGCGUCCUAUUAGGUUGUUGGCGGGGUAAUGGCCCACCAAGCCGAAGAUGGGUACCGGGUGUGAGAGCAUGGCCCGGCUCACUGGGACUGAGACACUGCCCAGACGUCUACGGACGGCUGCAGUCGAGAAUCUUCCGCAAUGGACGAAAGUCUGACGGAGCGACGCCGCGUGCGGGAUGAAGGCCUUCGGGUUGUAAACCGCUGUCAGUUGGGAGGAAAUGCUAUGGGGUUCUCUCCAUAGUUUGACCGAUCUUCAGAGGAAGUACGGGCUAAGUUCGUGCCAGCAGCCGCGGUAAUACGAACCGUACGAACGUUAUUCGGAAUCACUGGGCUUAAAGAGUCCGUAGGCGGCCUUGAAGGUGAGGUGUGAAAUCCAACGGCUCAACCGUUGAACUGCGCUUCAAACCACAAGGCUAGAGGGAGAUAGAGGAAAGCGGAACUGAUGGUGGAGCGGUGAAAUGCGUUGAUAUCAUCAGGAACACCGGUGGCGAAAGCGGCUUUCUGGGUCUCUUCUGACGCUGAGGGACGAAAGCUAGGGGAGCGAACGGGAUUAGAUACCCCGGUAGUCCUAGCUGUAAACGAUGAGCACUAGUUCGAGGGGACCCCCACAUCCUCUUGGACGUAGCGAAAGUGUU